Molecule: ribosomal RNA, 253 nt
Filed under: uncultured bacterium
Lineage: Bacteria
Description: partial 16S ribosomal RNA
Rfam family: Bacterial small subunit ribosomal RNA
Source: RNAcentral
UACGGAGGGGGCUAGCGUUGUUCGGAAUUACUGGGCGUAAAGCGCACGUAGGCGGCUUUGUAAGUUAGAGGUGAAAGCCCAGGGCUUAACCCUGGAAUUGCCUUUAAGACUGCAUCGCUAGAAUCGUGGAGAGGUGAGUGGAAUUCCGAGUGUAGAGGUGAAAUUCGUAGAUAUUCGGAAGAACACCAGUAGCGAAGGCGGCACUCUGGGCCGGUACUGACGCUGAGGAGCGAAAGCGUGGGGAGCGAACAGG